UACGGGGGGUGCAAGCGUUGUUCGGAAUUAUUGGGCGUAAAGCGUGCGUAGGCGGACUGUUAAGUCAGGUGUGUAAGCCCGUGGCUCAACCACGGAAUUGCAUCUGAAACUGCUCGACUUGAGUGCAGGAGAGGAAAGCGGAAUUCUCAGUGUAGCGGUGAAAUGCAUUGAUAUUGGGAGGAACAUCUGUGGCGAAGGCGGCUUUCUGGUCUGUUACUGACGCUGAGAUACGAAAGCCAGGGGAGCGAACGGG
This 253-nucleotide ribosomal RNA is filed under the name uncultured bacterium. Its description in RNAcentral is "partial 16S ribosomal RNA". It matches the Rfam family "Bacterial small subunit ribosomal RNA", at positions 524 to 776 of the family's 1533-position model. The record is from RNAcentral.